Molecule: ribosomal RNA, 500 nt
Filed under: uncultured bacterium
Lineage: Bacteria
Description: partial 16S ribosomal RNA
Rfam family: Bacterial small subunit ribosomal RNA
Source: RNAcentral
AUUGAACGCUGGCGGCAUGCUUUACACAUGCAAGUCGAACGGUAACAGGGUGCUUGCACCGCUGACGAGUGGCGAACGGGUGAGUAAUGCGUCGGAACGUGCCGAGUAGUGGGGGAUGACGCAGCGAAAGUUGUGCUAAUACCGCAUACGUACUGAGGUAGAAAGUGGGGGACCUUCGGGCCUCACGCUAUUCGAGCGGCCGACGUCUGAUUAGCUAGUAGGUGAGGUAAAGGCUCACCUAGGCGACGAUCAGUAGCGGGUCUGAAAGGAUGAUCCGCCACACUGGGACUGAGACACGGCCCAGACUCCUACGGGAGGCAGCAGUGGGGAAUUUUGGACGAUGGGCGAAAGCCUGAUCCAGCCAUGCCGCGUGUCUGAAGAAGGCCUUCGGGUUGUAAAGGACUUUUGUCAGGGAGGAAAUCCCUAGUGCUAAUAACACUGGGGGAUGACAGUACCUGAAGAUUAAGCACCGGCUAACUACGUGCCAGCAGCCGCCGUAA